GAUGAACGCUGGCGGCGUGCCUAAUACAUGCAAGCCGAGCGAACGGACGAGAAGCUUGCUUCUCUGAUGUUAGCGGCGGACGGGUGAGUAACACGUGGAUAACCUACCUAUAAGACUGGGAUAACUUCGGGAAACCGGAGCUAAUACCGGAUAAUAUUUUGAACCGCAUGGUUCAAAAGUGAAAGACGGUCUUGCUGUCACUUAUAGAUGGAUCCGCGCUGCAUUAGCUAGUUGGUAAGGUAACGGCUUACCAAGGCAACGAUGCAUAGCCGACCUGAGAGGGUGAUCGGCCACACUGGAACUGAGACACGGUCCAGACUCCUACGGGAGGCAGCAGUAGGGAAUCUUCCGCAAUGGGCGAAAGCCUGACGGAGCAACGCCGCGUGAGUGAUGAAGGUCUUCGGAUCGUAAAACUCUGUUAUUAGGGAAGAACAUAUGUGUAAGUAACUGUGCACAUCUUGACGGUACCUAAUCAGAAAACCACGGCUAACUACGUG
Molecule: ribosomal RNA, 497 nt
Filed under: uncultured bacterium
Lineage: Bacteria
Description: partial 16S ribosomal RNA
Rfam family: Bacterial small subunit ribosomal RNA
Source: RNAcentral